RNAcentral lists this ribosomal RNA (482 nucleotides) under uncultured bacterium. RNAcentral's name for it is "bacterial SSU rRNA". It matches the Rfam family "Bacterial small subunit ribosomal RNA", at positions 30 to 507 of the family's 1533-position model. The record is from RNAcentral.
AUUGAACGCUGGCGGAAUGCUUUACACAUGCAAGUCGAACGGCAGCACGGGGCAACCUGGUGGCGAGUGGCGAACGGGUGAGUAAUACAUCGGAACGUGCCCAAUCGUGGGGGAUAACGUAGCGAAAGUUACGCUAAUACCGCAUACGAUCUACGGAUGAAAGCGGGGGAUCGCAAGACCUCGCGCGAAUGGAGCGGCCGAUGUCAGAUUAGGUAGUUGGUGGGGUAAAGGCUCACCAAGCCAACGAUCUGUAGCUGGUCUGAGAGGACGACCAGCCACACUGGAACUGAGACACGGUCCAGACUCCUACGGGAGGCAGCAGUGGGGAAUUUUGGACAAUGGGCGCAAGCCUGAUCCAGCCAUUCCGCGUGCAGGAUGAAGGCCUUCGGGUUGUAAACUGCUUUUGUACGGAACGAAAAGGUCCUGGUUAAUACCUGGGGCUCAUGACGGUACCGUAAGAAUAAGCACCGGCUAACUACGUG